RNAcentral lists this ribosomal RNA (253 nucleotides) under uncultured Lactobacillus sp. RNAcentral's name for it is "partial 16S ribosomal RNA". It matches the Rfam family "Bacterial small subunit ribosomal RNA", at positions 524 to 776 of the family's 1533-position model. The record is from RNAcentral. Lineage: Bacteria; Bacillati; Bacillota; Bacilli; Lactobacillales; Lactobacillaceae.
UACGUAGGUGGCAAGCGUUGUCCGGAUUUAUUGGGCGUAAAGCGAGCGCAGGCGGAAAGAUAAGUCUGAUGUGAAAGCCCCCGGCUUAACCGAGGAAUUGCAUCGGAAACUGUGUUUCUUGAGUGCAGAAGAGGAGAGUGGAACUCCAUGUGUAGCGGUGGAAUGCAUAGAUAUCACGCAGAACUCCGAUUGCGAAGGCAGCUUACUAAGCCAUAACUGACACUGAAGCACGAAAGCGUGGGGAUCAAACAGG